GAUGAACGCUAGCUACAGGCUUAACACAUGCAAGUCGAGGGGAAACGAUAGAGAAAGCUUGCUUUUUCUAGGCGUCGACCGGCGCACGGGUGAGUAACGCGUAUCCAACCUGCACAUCACUUGGGGAUAACCUUGCGAAAGUAAGACUAAUACCCAAUGACGUCCAUAGAAGACAUCUGAAAGGGAUUAAAGAUUUAUCGGUGAUGGAUGGGGAUGCGUCUGAUUAGCUUGUUGGCGGGGUAACGGCCCACCAAGGCGACGAUCAGUAGGGGUUCUGAGAGGAAGGUCCCCCACAUUGGAACUGAGACACGGUCCAAACUCCUACGGGAGGCAGCAGUGAGGAAUAUUGGUCAAUGGGCGAGAGCCUGAACCAGCCAAGUAGCGUGCAGGAUGACGGCCCUAUGGGUUGUAAACUGCUUUUAUAAGGGAAUAAAGUGAGCCUCGUGAGGCUUUUUGCAUGUACCUUAUGAAUAAGGACCGGCUAAUUCCGUGCCAGCAGCCGCAGUAA
Molecule: ribosomal RNA, 508 nt
Filed under: uncultured bacterium
Lineage: Bacteria
Description: partial 16S ribosomal RNA
Rfam family: Bacterial small subunit ribosomal RNA
Source: RNAcentral